CUCGUAGGUGGCUUUGUAAGUCGGAGGUGAAAGACCACGGCUCAACCGUGGAAACGCCUUCGAAACUGUGAAGCUUGAGGCUGGGAGAGGAAAUCGGAAUUCCUGGUGUAGCGGUGAAAUGCGUAGAUAUCAGGAGGAACACCGGUGGCGAAGGCGGAUUUCUGGACCAGUUCUGACACUGAUGAGCGAAAGCCAGGGGAGCAAACAGGAUUAGAUACCCUGGUAGUCCUGGCUGUAAACGAUGGGCACUAGGUGUGGGAGGAUCGACCCCUUCCGUGCCGCAGUUAACGCAUUAAGUGCCCCGCCUGGGGAGUACGACCGCAAGGUUGAA
RNAcentral lists this ribosomal RNA (331 nucleotides) under uncultured bacterium. RNAcentral's name for it is "bacterial SSU rRNA". It matches the Rfam family "Bacterial small subunit ribosomal RNA", at positions 568 to 898 of the family's 1533-position model. The record is from RNAcentral.